Molecule: ribosomal RNA, 253 nt
Filed under: uncultured bacterium
Lineage: Bacteria
Description: partial 16S ribosomal RNA
Rfam family: Bacterial small subunit ribosomal RNA
Source: RNAcentral
UACGUAGGGUGCAAGCGUUGUCCGGAAUUAUUGGGCGUAAAGAGCUCGUAGGCGGUCUGUCGCGUCGGAUGUGAAAAUCCAGGGCUCAACCCUGGACCUGCAUUCGAUACGGGCAGACUAGAGUUCGGUAGGGGAGACUGGAAUCCCUGGUGUAGCGGUGAAAUGCGCAGAUAUCAGGAGGAACACCGGUGGCGAAGGCGGGUCUCUGGGCCGAAACUGACGCUGAGGAGCGAAAGCGUGGGGAGCAAACAGG